Arachis ipaensis is the source of this 268-nucleotide non-coding RNA. NCBI's taxonomy places the organism in Eukaryota, Viridiplantae, Streptophyta, Magnoliopsida, Fabales, Fabaceae. The record is from RefSeq and is a predicted model, not a curated record.
CCCUAUCCGGAACCCAGGUAGCUCAGCUCGUCGUCCCCAUCUUCCCUGGCUUCUCUGUUCGUAGCUUGGAGCAACUCGCCGUUGGGUCGCCACUUGCCGUCGCCUCGCCUAUCGCUGUCGUCUCGCCGGUUGCCAUCCGUGUCUUCGUCGAAGAAGGUUCAGUGUUGGCUUCAACUUUCAAAUGGGAAUUGGGCGCUGGUGAAGAUAAUAACAUCUUUUGGAACGGAGUCUGUUGUUUCACUGCCUGAUAGAAAAGUAAGAUAUGAUC